UUUGAAAGUCACACACUAAGGUUUCAGUAUUUAUCAAUAUUUUAAAAUCAAUUGGUAGCAUUUUAAUUUAGUCUGCUAAACUACAAUAGCUUCAGAAGAAUAUUAAGAGACCUUCUUCAUCUUUGGGAGAAGUGCAGACUAGGUCACGACAGACUUCUUUUUCCAUUUCAACUUCAACCUCAAAGAAUGUAUCUACAAGUUCCUCAGCUUGGUCUUUCAUCUGAUCACCUUUCUCUGCUAUUCUUUGCUGAGCUUUUCUAAAAACUCGAAGAUGAGUGCCGAAGUCAUCAACAAGUCGUGUAGUGAAGUAAGGCUGCCAGUCUGUUUCCUUUGACCUGAUUUCCAGGAGAAACGAUUCAUCAUCACUUAGUGUGUAAUACCAGUACUGCACAUAGUCUCUCAGGGAAAACUGGAUCACCUGUUGCAAAGGCUCAUCAAUUAUAUUUGCACCUGUCAGUCUUCUGUCAAUCUUAAUAGGUCUGGCUUCACGUUUCAUUUCUUCUAUGCACUUAGGGAUACCAACUGAUGUACAAGGAAGAAAUGAAUGUUCACACUGCUCAAGGUACUUUUCUGAGUUGUUUUUUCCAAAUAAAAGAGUAACCACAAAACCCCCACCCACAAAGCAGAGGAUAUAAAACGCAAAGUAAAAUAUAGCGAAGGGUCCAAAAGUUAUUAGAAAAAGGACAACACCAAGACUUCCCCAUCCCCAUAUGGAGAGACUGGUCU
RNAcentral lists this long non-coding RNA (726 nucleotides) under Gallus gallus (chicken). Lineage: Eukaryota; Metazoa; Chordata; Aves; Galliformes; Phasianidae. The record is from RNAcentral.